This 130-nucleotide unclassified non-coding RNA is filed under the name soil metagenome. RNAcentral's name for it is "partial internal transcribed spacer 1". The record is from RNAcentral.
CGAAUGGGUCCAAAGACUCUUAAAACCUACCGUGCUCCCCUACGUGGAAAACCAGGGUAAGCCCUCCGGGGCAUAGGAAAUCUGAGAAGUUGAGAACUGCGCCCCGGCGCAUGACUAAAACAAAAAAUUA